CGCUUCUCCAGCGUCGCCACCAGGUCGGCCAGCGCGGCCGGCUCGAUGGGGAAGGCGCUGUAGACGAUGGCGUCGGAAACGCCCGAACUCG
RNAcentral lists this transfer RNA (91 nucleotides) under Methylibium petroleiphilum PM1. Its description in RNAcentral is "tRNA-Ser". Lineage: Bacteria; Pseudomonadati; Pseudomonadota; Betaproteobacteria; Burkholderiales; Sphaerotilaceae. The record is from RNAcentral.